GGUAUGAGAUGGCGAUGCGUCCCAUUAGCUUGUUGGCGGGGUAACGGCCCACCAAGGCAUCGAUGGGUAGGGGUUCUGAGAGGAAGGUCCCCCACAUUGGAACUGAGACACGGUCCAAACUCCUACGGGAGGCAGCAGUGAGGAAUAUUGGUCAAUGGACGCAAGUCUGAACCAGCCAAGUAGCGUGCAGGAUGACGGCCCUCUGGGUUGUAAACUGCUUUUAGUUGGGAAUAAAGUGCAUCACGUGUGAUGUUUUGUAUGUACCAUCAGAAAAAGGACCGGCUAAUUCCGUGCCAGCAGCCGCGGUAAUACGGAAGGUCCAGGCGUUAUCCGGAUUUAUUGGGUUUAAAGGGAGCGCAGGCGGACCUUUAAGUCAGCUGUGAAAUACGGCGGCUCAACCGUCGAACUGCAGUUGAUACUGGAGGUCUUGAGUGCACACAGGGAUACUGGAAUUCAUGGUGUAGCGGUGAAAUGCUCAGAUAUCAUGAAGAACUCCGAUCGCGAAGGCAGGUAUCCGGGGUGCAACUGACGCUGAGGCUCGAAAGUGCGGGUAUCAAACAGGAUUAGAUACCCUGGUAGUCCGCACAGUAAACGAUGAAUACUCGCGAUUUGCGAUACACAGUAAGUCGCCAAGCGAAAGCGUUAAGUAUUCCACCUGGGGAGUAC
This 666-nucleotide ribosomal RNA is filed under the name uncultured bacterium. RNAcentral's name for it is "bacterial SSU rRNA". It matches the Rfam family "Bacterial small subunit ribosomal RNA", at positions 217 to 883 of the family's 1533-position model. The record is from RNAcentral.